GUUAAAAAGCUCGUAGUUGGAUUUCUGCGGGGGCGGGGCGGCCGGUUGCUUAUAGCAACUCGGGCUAGCACUUCCCCCGCAUCCUGCCGCGAACCGUGCUACCAUUAGUUUGGUGGCGCUGGGGAUCGGCUCGUUUACUUUGAGAAAAAUAGAGUGUUCAAAGCAGGCCACACGCCUUGAAUAAGUUAGCAUGGAAUAAUGAUAAAGGACUUCGGUUCUAUUUUGUUGGUGUUCGGGACUGAAGUAAUGAUUGAUAGGGACAGUUGGGGCGGUCAGUAUUCCAAAGCGAGAGGUGAAAUUCUUAGACCUUCGGAAGACUAACAGCUGCGAAAGCGUUCCGCGAGGAUGUUCCCUUCGAUCAAGAACGAAAGUUGGGGGAUCGAAGACGAUCAGAUACCGUCGUAGUCUCAACUAUAAACUAU
RNAcentral lists this ribosomal RNA (422 nucleotides) under uncultured marine eukaryote. RNAcentral describes it as "bacterial SSU rRNA". It matches the Rfam family "Eukaryotic small subunit ribosomal RNA", at positions 618 to 1040 of the family's 1831-position model. The record is from RNAcentral.